This 72-nucleotide small nucleolar RNA is filed under the name Sinocyclocheilus grahami. Its description in RNAcentral is "Small nucleolar RNA SNORD103/SNORD85 (ENSSGRG00000053165.1)". Lineage: Eukaryota; Metazoa; Chordata; Actinopteri; Cypriniformes; Cyprinidae. The record is from RNAcentral.
GCUGGCUGUGAUGACAAACUUGCCCUCUCUGAGAGAACUGCUCUGUUAUGACCCAAACGCUCCUGAGCCAAA